RNAcentral lists this ribosomal RNA (498 nucleotides) under uncultured bacterium. RNAcentral describes it as "partial 16S ribosomal RNA". It matches the Rfam family "Bacterial small subunit ribosomal RNA", at positions 30 to 523 of the family's 1533-position model. The record is from RNAcentral.
AUUGAACGCUGGCGGCAUGCUUUACACAUGCAAGUCGAACGGCAGCGCGGGGCAACCUGGCGGCGAGUGGCGAACGGGUGAGUAAUACAUCGGAACGUACCCAGAAGUGGGGGAUAACGUAGCGAAAGUUACGCUAAUACCGCAUACGUUCUACGGAAGAAAGUGGGGGACCUUCGGGCCUCAUGCUUUUGGAGCGGCCGAUGUCUGAUUAGCUAGUUGGUAGGGUAACGGCCUACCAAGGCGACGAUCAGUAGCUGGUCUGAGAGGACGACCAGCCACACUGGGACUGAGACACGGCGCAGACUCCUACGGGAGGCAGCAGUGGGGAAUUUUGGACAAUGGGCGCAAGCCUGAUCCAGCAAUGCCGCGUGAGUGAAGAAGGCUUUCGGGUUGUAAAGCUCUUUUGUCAGGGAAGAAACGGCUGAGGUUAAUACCUUCGGCUAAUGACGGUACCUGAAGAAUAAGCACCGGCUAACUCCGUGCCAGCCGCCGCAGUAA